AUGUCCGGCCUGUCACGCGCUCACGCUCCGUGCGGGGAGCCUGCAGGUUGCGGCGCUGCGAGGGCGGGGGCGGGGCCCGCCCGCCCCUGCUCCUCCGAGCGAGGAUGCACGAGAGUAAUAACGCAGCACGCGGAAGGGAUGCGGCGGCGGCCGGAAGACCUGGGGCGAGCCGGGGUCAGGGGCCAGGGGCCAGGGGCAGAGGCCCGCGGUGGCUGGAGAGGGACCAGGAACAGAGCCGGCCCAGCCCUGGGGAGGUGCCCUCAGGGUCAUCACCCCGUCGUACAGAGGUGGGCGCAGGCAGGUCUCCCUGCUGUGGGGUGCCCUCAGGGUCAUCUCCCCAUCGUACACAGAGGUGUGCCCAGGCAGGUCUCCCUGCUGUGGGGUGCCCUCAGCGUCAUCUCCCCAUCGCACACAGGUGGGGGGCAGGCAGGUCUCCCUGCUGUGGGGUGCCCUCAGCGUCAUCUCCCCAUCGCACACAGGUGGGGGGCAGGCAGGUCUCCCUGCUGUGGGGUGCCCUCAGCGUCAUCUCCCCAUCGCACACAGGUGGGGUGCAGGCAGGUCUCCCUGCUGUGGGGUGCCCUCAGGGUCAUCACCCCAUCAUACAGAGGUGGGCCCAGGCAGGUCUCCCUGCUGUGGGGUGCCCUCAGGGUCAUCUCCCCAUCGCACACAGGUGGGGUGCAGGCAGGUCUCCUGCUGUGGGGUGCCCUCAGGGUCAUCUCCCCAUCGCACACAGGUGGGGGGCAGGCAGGUCUCCCUGCUGUGGGGUGCCCUCAGGGUCAUCUCCCCAUUGUACACAGAGGUGGGGUGCAGGCAGGUCUCCCUGCUGUGGGGUGCCCUCAGGGUCAUCUCCCCAUUGUACACAGAGGUGGGGUGCAGGCAGGUCUCCCUGCUGUGGGGUGCCCUCAGGGUCAUCACCCCAUUGUACACAGAGGUGGGGUGCAGGCAGGUCUCCCUGCUGUGGGGUGCCCUCAGGGUCAUCUCCCCAUCGUACACAGGCAGAGGUGGGGCACAGGUCUCACUCAAGGCCCCACACUCGGAGUAAAAUAG
Molecule: long non-coding RNA, 1047 nt
Filed under: Vulpes vulpes (red fox)
Lineage: Eukaryota; Metazoa; Chordata; Mammalia; Carnivora; Canidae
Description: lncRNA (ENSVVUG00000000097.1)
Source: RNAcentral